Gopherus flavomarginatus (Mexican gopher tortoise) is the source of this 3509-nucleotide long non-coding RNA. RefSeq lists it as uncharacterized. The transcript is spliced from 3 exons. NCBI's taxonomy places the organism in Eukaryota, Metazoa, Chordata, Testudines, Testudinidae. The record is from RefSeq and is a predicted model, not a curated record.
CCGCAGUGGGCGACGAAAUGGCCGUCCGCCUAGGGCGUCAGAAACCCUGGCGCCGCUCCUGACUAUAUGCCAAUACAGAAACCCAAGAGAUAGGUUUGGAAUUGAGCUGAGUUCUUCGGAACCAAGAGGUUAAGGUCUCAGAGGGAUCCCAACAAGCUGAAAGUCAAGGUUCUGCUAAGGUCAGGAAACUGACAAGUGGCUGGUCUACAGAACGGGACUGGAAAUCUCAAAAGAAGAGGCUUCCUUACAAGAUUCCAGUUCUGACCCAAGAGGACACAGACUUUCUCAGGACUCCAGACUGGCUGGUGGCUGCUUUUGUUCCAGUCUGGAAACAAGAAAGGAAAGAAAACUGUCACAAGGAGAAGCAAUCACUUCUUGCAAGAUACCCUCCAAAUUCUUAUUUCUGGGAGUGGUCAGCUGCAUCUAGAUCCAACCAGAAUGGAACCUUAAACCUGGAAGAGGAUUAUCUAACCCAAAGACAUGGGGCCAGAUCCUCAUUGGCUGUUGUUCCAUUUGUGGAGUGAAGAGAAGGGACAGGUGUCACAUUAUGGGAGCUGGGGAUUCCCCUUGUGUAACAAAAUCCUGAGGUGGCACAAAAAGCCAGCGUAGCCAGUUCUAUCCCACUUCUUUGAGAAUUUGAAAUUAGAAGGCAGCUUGGGUGAAAGUGAUCAUGAAAUGAUGAGUUCAUGAUUUUAAACUAAAGGAAUGGCAGGAGAUAAUGGAGUUCAAGAAGGCAGACUUUAGCAAACUCAGGGAGUUGGUAGGUAAAAUUCCAUGGGAAGCAAGUCUAAGAAGAAAACAGUUCAAGAGAGUUGGCAGUUUUUCAGAGACAUUAUUAAAGGCACAGGAACUAUCUCACUGCUUAGGAAAGACAAGAAACAUGGCAAGAGACCACACUGGCUUAACCAGGAGAUAUUCAAUGAUCUGAAACUCAAUAAAGAGUCCUACAAAAAGUGGAAACUAGAUCAAAUCACAAAGGAUGAAUAUAGACAAACAAUACACGUAUGUAGGGACAAAAUUAGAAAGGCCAAGGCACAAAACGAGAUUAAACUAGCUAGAGACAUAAGUAACUUUAGAAAGACUUUUGAUACUGACUCGCAUGAACUUCUCAUGAAAAACUAGGGAAAAACAAUCUAGAUGGAGCUACUAUAGGGUGGGUGCAUAAGUGAUUGGAAAACCAUUCCAAGAGAGUAGUUAUCAGUGGUUCACAGUCAAUGCAGAAGGGCAUAUCUAGUGGGAUCCAGCAGGGAUCAGUUCUGGGAACAGUUCUGUUCAAUAUCUUCAUCAAUGAUUUAGAUAAUGGCAUAGGGAGUACACCAGGAUUUCUCAAACAGGGGUCGCCACUUGUGUAGGGAAAGUCCUGGUGGGCCUGGCCGAUGUGUUUACCUGUCCCGUCUGUAGGUCCGGCCGAUUGCAGCUCCCACUGGCCACGAAUCGCUGCUCUGGGCCAAUAGGAGCUGCUAGAAGUGGCGGUCAGUAAGUCCCUUGGCCUGCGCCACUUCCAGCAGCUCACAUUGGCCUAGAGCAGCGAUCUGUGGCCAGUGGGAGCUGCGAUUGGCUGGACCUGUGGACGGGGCAGGUAAACAAACCAGCUCAGCCCACCGGGGACUUUCCCUGCACAAGCGGCGACCCUUAGUUUGAGAAACCUGGAGUACACGUAUAAACUUUGUGGAUGAUACCAAGCUGGGAGGGAUUGCUAGUGCUUUGGAGGAUAGGAUUAAAAUUCAAAAUGAUCUGGACAAACUGGAGAAAUGGUCUGAAGUAAAUAGGAUGAAAUUCCAUAAAGGACAACUACAAAGUACUCCACUUAGAGAGGAACAAUCAGAUGCAUACAAAAUGGGAAAUGACUGCCUUGGAAGGAGUACUGCAGAAAGGGAUCUGGGGUCAUAGUGGAUCACAAGCUAACUAUGAGUCCAAAGUGUAAUGCUGUUGCAAAAAAAGCAAACAUCGUUCUGGGAUGUAUUCGCAGGAAUGUUGUAAGCAAGACUCAACUCUCUGCUGAUUAGGCCUCAGCUGGAGUAUUGUGUCCAGUUCUGGGCACCACAUUUCAGGAAAUAUUUGGACAAACUGGAGAAAAUCCAGAGAAGAGGAACAAAAAUGGUUAAAGGUCUAGAAGACAUGACCUAUGAGGGAAGAUUGAAAGAAUUGGGUUUGUUUAGUCUGGAGAAGAUAAGACUGAGAUGGGACAUGAUAACAGUUUUUGAAUACAUAAAAGGUUGUUUCAAGGAGGAGAGAGGUAAACUGUUCUCUUUAACCUCUGAGAACAGGACAAGUAACAAUGGGCUUAAAUUGCAGCAAGGGCGGUUUAGAUUGCCAAUUAGGAAAAACUUCCUGUCAGGGUGGUUAAACACUGGAAUAAAUUGCCCAGGGAGGUUGUGGAACCUCUAUCAUUGGAGAUUUUUAAGAGCAGAUUAGACAGACACCUGUCAGGGAUUGUCUAGAUCAUUGGUCUGGAGCAGCGAAUCGCGGCCAGUGGGAGCCCCGAUUACCUGCCGCAUCCACAGGUUCGGCCAAACAAACCGACCCGGCCCACCACGGGCUUUCCCUGUAAAAGCAGCGGACCAGCUUUGAGAACCCCUGGUCUAGAUAAUAGUUAGUCCUGCCAUGAAUGCGGGGGACUGGACUACAUGAUCUGUCAAGGUCCCUUUUAGUCCUAUGAUUCUGAUUCCUCCUGCCCCAUACGAAGCAUAGGGGGCCGGCCAGUGGUGGGAGGGGGUGUGGCUGAAGCCUGAAUUGCUCAGGCAAAUUUGGGCUGCCACUAGCUAGAGCAUCCUUCAGUUCCCCCACCUACUCUUUCCAUAUCUGCUGGGAGGGGCUCAGAUAUCAGAGGCUCUGGACCAUCAUGCCGAUAAGGGGGAAAGAAAGUGGAAAUGCUCACCGAAUAACCAUAAUUUAGGUAGUAUUAUUGGUUAAAAAGAGAAGGAUUACAUCAGUCUGGACAUCAGACACAAUUAACUCUGUGCAUCAGACCAAGAAGAAACAUAGUAAUUGACAGAGAGACCAUUGCGUUUUAAUUCCCUUCCCCUUUGAAAAAUGAGUGUUGAUGCUUAUGAAAGGUAGCACUGUUCUUCAUCACUGCAGCCCUCUGUUUCUCCCAGGAAAACACCACCACCGGCAGCAGCCCUGGAGCUGGUUAUUUCAUUUUUUUUUUCCAUUGAGGGCUCUCAGCUUGAUGCACAGACUUGCAGAACUAGACAGCUGGAAUGAUACCACUGGAAAUUAGGGGCUCCAGAUUUACACUAGGGUCAUUCAGGAGUUGUUUGCAUGCAGAGUUGUACCAGUUUAACUCAAGGUUUGAUUGUAAAGAAAUUGUUAAAUCAGUGUGAAAGGCUGUGUGGACACCUUAUUUCACUUGAAAUCAGGUUUAUUUUGGCUUAGUUGAAAUUGAUUAAGAACUAAACCAAAAUAAGCCACUCAAGCCAAAGGUCAAUUCUACGUUAGAAACUACUGCCAAUAGAGCAAUCUGAGGUAUGGGAGUGAUUUUUAUGCAACAUUUCAUACUGGCAAAA